AUCCCUCUCUCCCUCUCCCUCCCUUCUCUGCUCUCCCUCCCCUCUCUCCCUCCCCUCUGGCUCCCUCUCUCCCUCUCCUCCCUCUCCCUCUCCUUCCCCUCUCUCCCUCUCCUUCCCCUCUCUCCCUCUCCCUCCCCCUCCCCCUACCUCCCCUCUGGCUCCCUCUCUCCCUCUCCCUCCCCUCUGGCUUCCUCUCUCCCUCUCCCUCCUUCCCUGCUCUCCCUCCCCCUCCCCCUACCUCCCCUCUGGCUCCUCUCUCCCUCUCCUCCCUUCCUGCUCUCUCUCCCUCCCCCUCCCUCCCCUCUGGCUUCCUCUCUCCCUCUCCCUCUCCUUCCCUCUCUCCUCCCCCUCCCCCUACCUCCCCUCUGGCUCCCUCUCUCCCUCUCCCUCCCUUCCCUACUCUCCCUCUCCUCCCUCUCCUCCCCUCCCUCUCCCCUCCCUCUGUCUCAGUCCUUCCCUCUCUCCCUCUCCCUCCCUCUCCGUCCCUUCCCUGCUCUCCCUCCCCUCCCCCUCCCCCUCCCUCCCCUCUGGCUCCCUCUCUCCCCUCCCUCCCUUCCCUGCUCUCCCUCCCCCUCUCUCCCCUCUAGAUCCCUCUCUCCCCUCCCCCUCCCUCUGUCUCAGUCCUUCCCUCUCUCCCUCUCCCUCUCCUUCCCUCUCCCUCCCUUCCCUGCUCUCUCUCCCUCUCCCUCCCCUCCCCUCCCCUCUGGCUCCUCUCUCCCUCUCCCUCUCCCUCCCCUCUGGCUCCCUCUCUCCCUCUCCCUCCCUCUCCCUCCCUCUCCCUCCCCUCUCUCUCCCCUCCCUCCCCUCCCCUCCCCCUCCCUCUGUCUCAGUCCUUCCCUCUCUCCCUCUCCCUCCCUCCUCCCUCUCCCUCCUCUCCCUCCCCCUCCCCCUCCCUCCCCCUCCCCUCUGGCUCCCUCUCUCCCUCUCCCUCCUUCCCUGCUCUCUCUCCCCCUCCCUCCCCUCCCCUCUGGCUCCCUCUCUCCCUCUCCUCCCCUCCCUCUCCCCUCUCUCCCUCCCCCUCCCUCUCCCCCCCCCUCCCCCACAGGAAGCAGAGUGCACACGCACCUGCACACCUGUGCUGACCAGGCAGGAGGCCCCCCGAUAGAGCCAGAGUGGCUGGCUGGAACUGUUAAUUACAUCAGGGGCACAGGGCAAAUGGCGAUUGAUGAAAGAAGAAACGUGAUGAGAAGCCCGACCUUCAGGAAAAGGUUUAGGCCCCCCCAGCGGUCAAAGAAUGGCGAAUUAAAGCAGCCAGGCAGGACGGGCUCUCUCCUAGUCGUCAACAAGAAGUCAAACAGAAUCGCAGCCUGGUGGCUGUGGCCACUCUGGCCGCGCUGGGGCGGGUGGUCGCUGAAGAUUUACGGCGGCGAUGACUUCAGCUCUGCAGCGUCUUUGAUCUGCUUGUAA
This 1407-nucleotide long non-coding RNA is filed under the name Felis catus (domestic cat). Its description in RNAcentral is "lncRNA (ENSFCAG00000053332.1)". Lineage: Eukaryota; Metazoa; Chordata; Mammalia; Carnivora; Felidae. The record is from RNAcentral.